Molecule: small nuclear RNA, 18 nt
Filed under: Arabidopsis thaliana (thale cress)
Lineage: Eukaryota; Viridiplantae; Streptophyta; Magnoliopsida; Brassicales; Brassicaceae
Description: snRNA_18624
Source: RNAcentral
UGUGAGCAUGCCUGUCGG